GAUGAACGCUGGCGGCGUGCUUAACACAUGCAAGUCGAACGGAAAGGCCGAAGCUUGCUUCGGUACUCGAGUGGCGAACGGGUGAGUAACACGUGGGUGAUCUGCCCUGUACUUCGGGAUAAGCUUGGGAAACUGGGUCUAAUACCGGAUAUGACGAUCUCUUGGAUGGGGUUGUGGGAAGCUUUUGCGGUAUGGGAUGAGCGCGCGGCGUAUCAGCUUGUGGGUGGGGUAAUGGCCUACCAAGGCGUCGACGGGUAGCCGGCCUGAGAGUGGGUACGGCCACAGUGGGAGUGUGAUACGGGCCAGACUCCUACGGGAGGCAGAAGUGGGGAAUAUUGCACAAUGGGGGCACGCCUGAUGCAGCGAAGCCGCGUGGGGGAUGACGGCCUUUGGGUUGUAAAAUCCUUUCGCACUCGACGAAGCCUUUUGGUGACGGUAGGUUGAGAAGAAGCACCGGCUAACUACGUG
Molecule: ribosomal RNA, 468 nt
Filed under: uncultured bacterium
Lineage: Bacteria
Description: partial 16S ribosomal RNA
Rfam family: Bacterial small subunit ribosomal RNA
Source: RNAcentral